ACGAAUUGAUAUCCGCCGGACAGGACAGAACCGAUUGCCAAUUCUUUUCUAAUCGAACUCGUCGUGAGCACUCGAAUCUAUAUAUAAAAGAAUUGAAUGGUGCUGAUUCUCCAUUGAAAAAGUUGUAAGGAGAGAAGCUCCCAUUUCAGCCUAUGCAAUUGGAGAUUGUAACUAUUGCUGCUUGCGGAUUGAAUUUUUC
This 199-nucleotide long non-coding RNA is filed under the name Gossypium barbadense (sea-island cotton). RNAcentral's name for it is "long non-coding RNA (GBAR_LNC017140)". The record is from RNAcentral. Lineage: Eukaryota; Viridiplantae; Streptophyta; Magnoliopsida; Malvales; Malvaceae.